RNAcentral lists this ribosomal RNA (383 nucleotides) under uncultured eukaryote. Its description in RNAcentral is "partial 18S ribosomal RNA". It matches the Rfam family "Eukaryotic small subunit ribosomal RNA", at positions 592 to 976 of the family's 1831-position model. The record is from RNAcentral.
CAAUAGCGUAUAUUAAAGUUGUUGCAGUUAAAAAGCUCGUAGUUGGAUUUCUGGUGGGAGCGAUCGGUCUGGCGCUUAGCGCGAGUACUUGCAUCGUCUCCGGCCAUCCUUGGGGAGAGUCUGUCUGGCAUUAGGUUGUCGGGCAGAGGAUCCUCAUCGUUUACUGUGAAGAAAUUAGAGUGUUCAAAGCAGGCUUAUGCCGUUGAAUAUAUUAGCAUGGAAUAAUAAGAUAGGACUUUGGUACUAUUUUGUUGGUUUGCGCACCAAAGUAAUGAUUAAUAGGGACAGUUGGGGGUAUUCGUAUUCCGUUGUCAGAGGUGAAAUUCUUGGAUUUACGGAAGACGAACUACUGCGAAAGCAUUUACCAAGGAUGUUUUCAUUAA